GAUGAACGCUGGCGGCGUGCCUAAUACAUGCAAGUCGAGCGAACGGACGAGAAGCUUGCUUCUCUGAUGUUAGCGGCGGACGGGUGAGUAACACGUGGAUAACCUACCUAUAAGACUGGGAUAACUUCGGGAAACCGGAGCUAAUACCGGAUAAUAUUUUGAACCGCAUGGUUCAAAAGUGAAAGACGGUCUUGCUGUCACUUAUAGAUGGAUCCGCGCUGCAUUAGCUAGUUGGUAAGGUAACGGCUUACCGAGGCAACGAUGCAUAGCCGACCUGAGAGGGUGAUCGGCCACACUGGAAGUGAGACACGGUCCAGACUCCUACGGGAGGCAGCAGUAGGGAAUCUUCCGCAAUGGGCGAAAGCCUGACGGAGCAACGCCGCGUGAGUGAUGAAGGUCUUCGGAUCGUAAAACUCUGUUAUUAGGGAAGAACAUAUGUGUAAGUAACUGUGCACAUCUUGACGGUACCUAAUCAGAAAGCCACGGCUAACUACGUG
Molecule: ribosomal RNA, 497 nt
Filed under: uncultured bacterium
Lineage: Bacteria
Description: partial 16S ribosomal RNA
Rfam family: Bacterial small subunit ribosomal RNA
Source: RNAcentral